Legionella oakridgensis is the source of this 361-nucleotide non-coding RNA. It matches the Rfam family "Bacterial RNase P class A". Rfam says of the family: Ribonuclease P (RNase P) is a ubiquitous endoribonuclease, found in archaea, bacteria and eukarya as well as chloroplasts and mitochondria. Its best characterised activity is the generation of mature 5'-ends of tRNAs by cleaving the 5'-leader elements of precursor-tRNAs. Cellular RNase Ps are ribonucleoproteins. The record is from Rfam. Lineage: Bacteria; Pseudomonadati; Pseudomonadota; Gammaproteobacteria; Legionellales; Legionellaceae.
AAAGUCGGUCAGGCAAUCGCUCUUUGCUUUAGCAAAGGGAGGAAAGUCCGGGCUCCAUAGGGCAGAGUGCCAGGUAACUCCUGGGAGAUGUGAGUCUACGGAAAGUGCCACAGAAAAUAUACCGCCUGUAUACUACAGGUAAGGGUGAAAUGGUGCGGUAAGAGCGCACCGCACGAUUGGUAACAGUCGUGGCAGGGAAAACCCCACUUGGAGCAAGACCAAAUAGGAAUCCAUAUGAUCAUUGCGAUCAUAACGCACGGCCCGUGUGGGAUUCGGGUAGGUCGCUUGAGGUAAACGGUGACGUUUAUCCCAGAUGAAUGGUUGUCCAAGACAGAACCCGGCUUAUCGGCCGACUUUUAUU